GGGGCCGUAUUUUGGUUUCGACGGGGAUGCGGAGGGACAGAGAAGCGAGCGGCGGCCCUGAACCGCCUAAAAACGGGAACUAAAAUGAACUGACAACUACGAUAACGUAGCUUUCGCCGCUUAAUCGGCGAUCGUCGACCCUAAGCCUCCUGCGGCGUAGGCCAUCGGCGUCAUAGUAGCAGGGAACCAGCCGGCCAAAGCUUUGAGGACGGUGGGAUUUUAUGAAGCUACUGAAACCGGAAUCCUGUCUGUGGGAGUCCGGCGGAGGGAAUGUUAAAACACAGACUGCGCUCGGAGAUGCUCUGGUCUUCUGGUCUUCGGACAGGGGUUCGACCCCCCUCGGCUCCACCA
This 351-nucleotide transfer-messenger RNA is filed under the name Christensenellales. Its description in RNAcentral is "UBA2862 sp900317565 Standard tmRNA". It matches the Rfam family "transfer-messenger RNA". Rfam says of the family: Bacterial tmRNA, also known as 10Sa RNA or SsrA, is named for its dual tRNA and mRNA-like properties. Its role is to liberate the mRNA from a stalled ribosome. RNAcentral also lists the same sequence under 1 other name. The record is from RNAcentral. Lineage: Bacteria; Bacillati; Bacillota; Clostridia.